AUUGAACGCUGGCGGCAGGCCUAACACAUGCAAGUCGAGCGGAUGAAGGGAGCUUGCUCCUGGAUUCAGCAGCGGACGGGUGAGUAAUGCCUAGGAAUCUGCCUGGUAGUGGGGGAUAACGUCCGGAAACGGGCGCUAAUACCGCAUACGUCCUGAGGGAGAAAGUGGGGGAUCUUCGGACCUCACGCUAUCAGAUGAGCCUAGGUCGGAUUAGCUAGUUGGUGGGGUAAAGGCCUACCAAGGCGACGAUCCGUAACUGGUCUGAGAGGAUGACCAGUCACACUGGAACUGAGACACGGUCCAGACUCCUACGGGAGGCAGCAGUGGGGAAUAUUGGACAAUGGGCGAAAGCCUGAUCCAGCCAUGCCGCGUGUGUGAAGAAGGUCUUCGGAUUGUAAAGCACUUUAAGUUGGGAGGAAGGGCAGUAAGUUAAUACCUUGCUGUUUUGACGUUACCAACAGAAUAAGCACCGGCUAACUUCGUG
RNAcentral lists this ribosomal RNA (484 nucleotides) under uncultured bacterium. RNAcentral describes it as "partial 16S ribosomal RNA". It matches the Rfam family "Bacterial small subunit ribosomal RNA", at positions 30 to 507 of the family's 1533-position model. The record is from RNAcentral.